RNAcentral lists this ribosomal RNA (253 nucleotides) under uncultured bacterium. RNAcentral's name for it is "partial 16S ribosomal RNA". It matches the Rfam family "Bacterial small subunit ribosomal RNA", at positions 524 to 776 of the family's 1533-position model. The record is from RNAcentral.
UACGUAGGGCGCAAGCGUUGUCCGGAAUUAUUGGGCGUAAAGAGCUCGUAGGUGGCUUGUCACGUCGGGUGUGAAAGCUUGGGGCUUAACUCCAGGUCUGCAUUCGAUACGGGCUGGCUAGAGGUAGGUAGGGGAGAACGGAAUUCCCGGUGUAGCGGUGAAAUGCGCAGAUAUCGGGAGGAACACCGGUGGCGAAGGCGGUUCUCUGGGCCUUACCUGACGCUGAGGAGCGAAAGCGUGGGGAGCGAACAGG